RNAcentral lists this unclassified non-coding RNA (302 nucleotides) under air metagenome. Its description in RNAcentral is "partial contains small subunit ribosomal RNA, internal transcribed spacer 1, and 5.8S ribosomal RNA". The stretch from base 1 to 46 matches the Rfam family "Eukaryotic small subunit ribosomal RNA", at positions 1786 to 1831 of the family's 1831-position model. The record is from RNAcentral.
AAGUCGUAACAAGGUUUCCGUAGGUGAACCUGCGGAAGGAUCAUUACCGAGUUAGGGUCGCCUUCCAGGUGCCCGACCUCCCAACCCUGUGUCAAAAUUACCUCAGUUGCUUCGGUGGGCCGGGAGCGACCAACUGGCUUAGUAGGCCAGGCUGGCUUCGCGACCGGUGGCCGGGGAAUACCCCGGCGGCAGAGCGUCCACCGAUGGCAUCUACAAAACUCUUGAAACCCAAACCUGUCGUCUGAAUUUACUUGAUGUUAAUCAAAAAAACAAAACUUUCAACAACGGAUCUCUUGGUUCUG